RNAcentral lists this small RNA (17 nucleotides) under Arabidopsis thaliana (thale cress). RNAcentral describes it as "ATSL245230". The record is from RNAcentral. Lineage: Eukaryota; Viridiplantae; Streptophyta; Magnoliopsida; Brassicales; Brassicaceae.
AUAAGGAGGAGACAACU